This 1442-nucleotide ribosomal RNA is filed under the name Escherichia coli. RNAcentral describes it as "partial 23S ribosomal RNA". It matches the Rfam family "Bacterial large subunit ribosomal RNA", at positions 743 to 2167 of the family's 2925-position model. Lineage: Bacteria; Pseudomonadati; Pseudomonadota; Gammaproteobacteria; Enterobacterales; Enterobacteriaceae. The record is from RNAcentral.
GGUUGAAGGUUGGGUAACACUAACUGGAGGACCGAACCGACUAAUGUUGAAAAAUUAGCGGAUGACUUGUGGCUGGGGGUGAAAGGCCAAUCAAACCGGGAGAUAGCUGGUUCUCCCCGAAAGCUAUUUAGGUAGCGCCUCGUGAAUUCAUCUCCGGGGGUAGAGCACUGUUUCGGCAAGGGGGUCAUCCCGACUUACCAACCCGAUGCAAACUGCGAAUACCGGAGAAUGUUAUCACGGGAGACACACGGCGGGUGCUAACGUCCGUCGUGAAGAGGGAAACAACCCAGACCGCCAGCUAAGGUCCCAAAGUCAUGGUUAAGUGGGAAACGAUGUGGGAAGGCCCAGACAGCCAGGAUGUUGGCUUAGAAGCAGCCAUCAUUUAAAGAAAGCGUAAUAGCUCACUGGUCGAGUCGGCCUGCGCGGAAGAUGUAACGGGGCUAAACCAUGCACCGAAGCUGCGGCAGCGACGCUGAUGCGUUGUUGGGUAGGGGAGCGUUCUGUAAGCCUGUGAAGGUGUGCUGUGAGGCAUGCUGGAGGUAUCAGAAGUGCGAAUGCUGACAUAAGUAACGAUAAAGCGGGUGAAAAGCCCGCUCGCCGGAAGACCAAGGGUUCCUGUCCAACGUUAAUCGGGGCAGGGUGAGUCGACCCCUAAGGCGAGGCCGAAAGGCGUAGUCGAUGGGAAACAGGUUAAUAUUCCUGUACUUGGUGUUACUGCGAAGGGGGGACGGAGAAGGCUAUGUUGGCCGGGCGACGGUUGUCCCGGUUUAAGCGUGUAGGCUGGUUUUCCAGGCAAAUCCGGAAAAUCAAGGCUGAGGCGUGAUGACGAGGCACUACGGUGCUGAAGCAACAAAUGCCCUGCUUCCAGGAAAAGCCUCUAAGCAUCAGGUAACAUCAAAUCGUACCCCAAACCGACACAGGUGGUCAGGUAGAGAAUACCAAGGCGCUUGAGAGAACUCGGGUGAAGGAACUAGGCAAAAUGGUGCCGUAACUUCGGGAGAAGGCACGCUGAUAUGUAGGUGAAGCGACUUGCUCGUGGAGCUGAAAUCAGUCGAAGAUACCAGCUGGCUGCAACUGUUUAUUAAAAACACAGCACUGUGCAAACACGAAAGUGGACGUAUACGGUGUGACGCCUGCCCGGUGCCGGAAGGUUAAUUGAUGGGGUCAGCGCAAGCGAAGCUCUUGAUCGAAGCCCCGGUAAACGGCGGCCGUAACUAUAACGGUCCUAAGGUAGCGAAAUUCCUUGUCGGGUAAGUUCCGACCUGCACGAAUGGCGUAAUGAUGGCCAGGCUGUCUCCACCCGAGACUCAGUGAAAUUGAACUCGCUGUGAAGAUGCAGUGUACCCGCGGCAAGACGGAAAGACCCCGUGAACCUUUACUAUAGCUUGACACUGAACAUUGAGCCUUGAUGUGUAGGAUAGGUGGGAGGCUUUGAAGUGUGG